CUGGGUCCCGGGGCGGGCGGAAGGGACAAGUAUGUUAAGCAAAAAAAACGAUCAGCACUUGGUCUACGGCAGCAGGAGCUGAGAAAGUCUCACUCUGCUGCCCAGGCUGGAGUGCAGUGGCUCGAUCUUGGCUCACUGAAAUGGAAGUGACCUCUUUUCAAAUAGGGCAUGGCAGGGAAAGGGGGAGGAAAAUGGCAAAGUCUGCCCCAUAAACUCGAGACCAAGAUCCCCAAUUUCUUCCCCUGGUGGACCCAGCCACAGGC
Symphalangus syndactylus (siamang) is the source of this 263-nucleotide long non-coding RNA. RefSeq lists it as uncharacterized. The record is from RefSeq and is a predicted model, not a curated record. Lineage: Eukaryota; Metazoa; Chordata; Mammalia; Primates; Hylobatidae.